GGGGCUCAACCCCCAGCCUGCAGUGGGUACGGGCAGACUAGAGUGCGGUAGGGGAGAUUGGAAUUCCUGGUGUAGCGGUGGAAUGCGCAGAUAUCAGGAGGAACACCGAUGGCGAAGGCAGAUCUCUGGGCCGUAACUGACGCUGAGGAGCGAAAGCAUGGGGAGCGAACAGGAUUAGAUACCCUGGUAGUCCAUGCCGUAAACGUUGGGAACUAGAUGUAGGGGCCAUUCCACGGUUUCUGUGUCGCAGCUAACGCAUUAAGUUCCCCGCCUGGGGAGUACGGCCGCAAGGCUAAAACUCAAAGGAAUUGACGGGGGCCCGCACAAGCGGCGGAGCAUGCGGAUUAAUUCGAUGCAACGCGAAGAACCUUACCAAGGCUUGACAUAUACCGGAAACGUCCAGAGAUGGUCGCCCCGCAAGGUCGGUAUACAGGUGGUGCAUGGUUGUCGUCAGCUCGUGUCGUGAGAUGUUGGGUUAAGUCCCGCAACGAGCGCAACCCUCGUUCUAUGUUGCCAGCACGUUAUGGUGGGAACUCAUAGGAGACUGCCGGGGUCAACUCGGAGGAAGGUGGGGAUGACGUCAAAUCAUCAUGCCCCUUAUGUCUUGGGCUUCACGCAUGCUACAAUGGCCGAUACAAAGGGCUGCAAUACCGUAAGGUGGAGCGAAUCCCAAAAAGUCGGUCUCAGUUCGGAUUGAGGUCUGCAACUCGACCUCAUGAAGUCGGAGUCGCUAGUAAUCGCAGAUCAGCAACGCUGCGGUGAAUACGUUCCCGGGCCUUGUACACACCGCCCGUCAAGUCAUGAAAGUCGGUAACACCC
RNAcentral lists this ribosomal RNA (819 nucleotides) under Frondihabitans sp. Its description in RNAcentral is "bacterial SSU rRNA". It matches the Rfam family "Bacterial small subunit ribosomal RNA", at positions 604 to 1422 of the family's 1533-position model. Lineage: Bacteria; Bacillati; Actinomycetota; Actinomycetes; Micrococcales; Microbacteriaceae. The record is from RNAcentral.